AGUUGUGAUUGGUCCUGUUGAGGAACAUGGAAGGGACAAUGUCUUGAAGGAGUCCAUAUUGAUCAGGAGGAAGUUGUUGUUGAUAUUGUUGAAGAAAUGAGUUGUUAAUGUUGUUGUGUGAGUAAACGGAACCAGCAACGUUAUUAGUAGUAUGUGUUGUUGGUUGGGUGAUAUUGAAGGUGUUGUGGUGGUGCAUGUGGAGAAGAAGAUCUUGAGGGAAGUUUGACCCAUAUGAGAAAGGUGUAGGUGUAGAUAGCAAAUUAGAAGGUGUGAACAUUGCAGCCGCAUUGCCUCUUAGGGAAGUGGGGACAGGAUGAUUAUGCUGACCUUCAUAUGUUGUUAUCACAGUUGUUGGGUCUUCAUAUGAUCUUUCUACGCGUUUUUUCACUGUACAUUUCUGUGUUGUACACCUGUAAUAGCUCCUGCAAUAUCAAAUGCAAUUUCUCAUUAUCAAAUCAUUCAUCAAAUUAAUUAAUGCUAAGAAAUAUAUACAAG
Molecule: long non-coding RNA, 495 nt
Filed under: Medicago truncatula (barrel medic)
Lineage: Eukaryota; Viridiplantae; Streptophyta; Magnoliopsida; Fabales; Fabaceae
Description: lncRNA gene25473
Source: RNAcentral